Molecule: long non-coding RNA, 2735 nt
Organism: Cyprinus carpio carpio
Lineage: Eukaryota; Metazoa; Chordata; Actinopteri; Cypriniformes; Cyprinidae
Source: Ensembl
GACCUCCAGGCUUACAAGACUAAAAUGGGCAUGGAAUGGGCUAGUGCUGUUUUGCAGAUUGGUUUGUGGUUAGGGAGGCAUAAUGUGGACAGAAACCAGGUGAGUGGUUUCCUUUACAUCUCCAACACUGAAUUUGUGUUUUUUCAGGUUGCUUGUUACUGGUGGGAUUCUGUGACACUUCAGAUUGUAGUUUUUGGCCCAUGCACAUUUCAAAUUGCAACUGCAGCUCAUGGUCUUUCUCCAGUUUGUGUCCUAGCUUUACAAGCUCUUCCACCGUGCUCACACAUCCACGCAGCUAACUGGCAAGUACGUACUCUCUCAGCCAGUCCGUCUUCAUAAUCUUCGAAAAGGAAAGAUGACAAAAAAGCAGUCUCAAACUCAGUCCAUGUUGUUAUUGAAGAGCGAGCGUCCUCCCACCAGUCACGUGCUGCGCCGUGAAGUCUGCUGCGGAAGGUUGCCAACAAGUCACUCUCUGCAAGAGGAUGCAAUGCUAAAAAGUCCUGAAAUCGUGUUAGAUACAGCAGAGGAUUGGCAUCAUCAGACUGUCUUCCAAAUGUGGGAAAGGUCAACUUUAAAUGGUCACUUUUUCCUGCAGGAAUAGGAGGACACUCUGGGACAUUUUCUAGUGGUGAUGGGGGUGUGGUAAGUGAGAAACGGGAGGGUGGUUGUACCCCUUUACCUUGGUGAUCAGCCAUGUCUUCAUCUAGCCGUUUGACUUUCUCCAUGUCUGUUAUAAGUUCUUUUAGAUGUGUGGUUAGCUUGAGUGAUGCAAUUACUACAUUCAGUGGAGAGCUGCUCAUGAUACUUUUGAAGGUUCUUUUGUGUAGGUUUUUGAAGGUUCUUUUGUCUCUCUGAAGUUCGACCUGAAGUUGCUCCACCAUGAAACGGACUUCAGAAAUCAAGAUAGACUCCAUUUUUCGUAGCUCAUGUGACAUCAAGGGUCUGAGAGUAAUGCAAUUUCAGUUUUCUGUAUGUAUGUACUGUGCUUGUGGAAGAAUUGACAAUAAAGCAGACUUGACUUGACUUAUAGAAAAGUACAGUAUAUUUUGAUAUGUGCCCUGGGACUGAAUGUUCCUGAAUCAUAUUCACUGGUAUUAACCACUUCAAGGAUUUAAAAAAAAAAAAAAUACAAAAUAACAUGCCUACUGUGGUAUAAUAUCCACAGAAGAAGAAGAAGAAGAAGAAGAAGAAGAAGAAGAAAUAAAAACGUGAUUGUUAUAGUCCCAUGACUACAAAACUGCAGAACAAAAUAAAACAAACACAGAAAAAAAGAAAAAUCAAAUAAUCAUAACAAUAAUAAUAACAAUAAUAAUCAUCAUCAUCAUCAUCAUCAUAAUUACUAUUAUUAUAAAAACAGGAAAACAAACAAACAAAAUACACCACCAAGGUAAUAAUAUCCCCAAAUAAAAACAGAACCAAACAUAAUAAAAACAUAUAAUAAUAAUAAUAAUAAUAAUAAUAAUAAUAAUAGAAUAAAAAAGGAAAACAAACAAACAAACAACAGUAUUAUGUUGAAAGAAAGAAAGAAAGAAGGCCUCAAAACCACAGUACCAAUUUCUCCAGUCAAACAUAAGUAAAAUAUGCUAAUAAUAAUAAAUAAUAAAAAGAAGAAUGAUAAAAGCUAUGGUAAUAUGUAUGAACAUGCCAACAAACAAACAAUCCAAAAAAAUUUUUUUUUGCCUUGCACUUUUUGGUACUUGCAACAGUUUUAAAACAUUGUACUGCACGAUUUCACACUAUAAAAGUAUGAAAUUAACUUUUAUAGUUUUAAUUAAUACAUUUUUAUAUUGUAAUCACAGAUUAUACAGAACAGCCAUAAAAUGCACACACACAAGCUCUAGCAGUAGCUACAUUACCGUGCUGUUAAAAUCCUCUCUGUAAUCUUUUAUAAUCUAUGUGACUUUUGACACGUGGAAAUCAAUGACCUGUCCUGGGUUUAAUUAAACUGUUUGUACGGCAGUAGCACAUCUAUGUGUCCUGCUCACGGUAAUCGGGCGACAUCCAAACAGAAGCCACGACCACGUCAGCUGGAUUUACAACGGAUCCAUAUUGAUGCUAUGGUAAAACGUCAAAGCUUGAUUACUUGACUUCAGGUAGAUAAAAAAACAGACGAAAACUGUUUGAUUCCAGAAUCAAUAUCUAAGCUGAACCAAAAUCUAUUACAAUUAAAAAAAAAAGUUUUUUGCUCCACUAGCUCAACUUGCUGGUGCUUAGAUGCUAAGCAAUUAGAAAAACUGAAAUAAUAAAAAAAAAUCAACGCCACGUCCAUGACAGCAAAACAAAAAUGUGCUGGGUGAUUGGUAUGCUGGUUCGUUAUAAAACAUGACUUCUACAAUCAGUUUUCUUUUAUUAUUUUCUAUAAAACAAGGCACGCAAACCUUGAAGGCUGGCCUCCAAUGUGCGUGAAAUUGGUUGGGGUUUUUUAUUUUUUUAUUCUGAAGCAAUUAAUUUCUCCGUUCUUCAGGGGAUGUUAUAGGAGAAUACCCAAAUAAACACAACUGAACAAACACAAAGGCAAAGAGAGGGAGGAAUUUCAUAAAUGAACUUUCCAAAUAAGCAGAAACCAUAUUUUGCAAAAGUACAGUAAAUGUCUAUUUUUUAAGAUCACUACUGUAAUGCCUUCUGACAUAUAUAUUUAUUUCCCAUUAUUUUUAAUUGUAAUUGUAAUUAUUACUAUUACUGCUACUACUACUACUACUACUACUAAUAACAAUGUAAUGAAUCUAAUGACUGAA